UGCGAAUGGCUCAUUAAAUCAGCUAUGGUUCCUUAGAUCGUACCUACUACAUGGAUAACUGUAGUAAUUCUAGAGCUAAUACAUGCCACUAUGCCCUGACCCGCAAGGGGACGGGUGGAUUUAUUAGAACAGAACCAACCGGUUGUGGCUUCGGUCGCUUCCGUUGUACUCUGUGAUGACUCUGGAUAACUUCACUGAUCGCAGUCGGCCUUGUGUCGGCGACGGAUCUUUCAAAUGUCUGCCCUAUCAAUUUUCGAUGGUAGGUGACCUGCCUACCAUGGUGAUAACGGGUAACGGGGAAUCAGGGUUCGAUUCCGGAGAGGGAGCCUGAGAAACGGCUACCACUUCCAAGGAAGGCAGCAGGCACGCAAAUUACCCAAUCCCGGAACGGGGAGGUAGUGACGAAAAAUACGGAUACGGGACUCGUAUGAGGCUCCGUAAUUCGAAUGAGUACAAUUUAAAUCCUUUAACGAGGAUCAACUGGAGGGCAAGUCUGGUGCCAGCAGCCGCGGUAACUCCAGCUCCAGAAGCGUAUAUUAAAGUUGUUGCAGUUAAAAAGCUCGUAGUUGGAUCUGGGUCGUAUGGCUACGUGCCGUCGCCCGUAAUCACGGCUUGGUUCCGACUAGGUCAGGUUUGCGGGUCGGUUUCGUGGCUGUGCAGCCUUUCUGCCGUGUCUGUUUCGACAGGUGCCGGCCUAAUCGAUGGGCUUGUCUCGUUGGUUGGUUGGCAUGCUUCCAGAUGCCUUUGAACGGGUGUCGGGGGCGGACGGUACGUUUACUUUGAACAAAUUUGAGUGCUCAAAGCAGGCCUGUGCCUGAAAAUUCUUGCAUGGAAUAAUGGAAUAGGACUUCGGUUCUAUUUUGUUGGUUUUCGGAUCCGAAGUAAUGGUUAAGAGGGACAGACGGGGGCAUUUGUAUGGCGGUGUUAGAGGUGAAAUUCUUGGAUCGCCGCCAGACAAACUACAGCGAAAGCAUUUGCCAAGGAUGUUUUCAUUGAUCUGGAGCGAAAGUCAGAGGUUCGAAGACGAUCAGAUACCGUCCUAGUUCUGACCAUAAACGAUGCCAACUGACGAUCCGUGGGUGAUCUUUUAAUGACCCUGCGGGCAGUCCCCGGGAAACCUUUAAGUCUUUGGGCUCCGGGGGAAGUAUGGUUGCAAAGCUGAAACUUAAAGGAAUUGACGGAAGGGCACCACCAGGAGUGGAGCCUGCGGCUUAAUUCGACUCAACACGGGAAAACUCACCCGGCCCGGACACUGUGAGGAUUGACAGAUUGAUAGCUCUUUCUUGAUUCGGUGGUUGGUGGUGCAUGGCCGUUCUUAGUUGGUGGAGCGAUUUGUCUGGUUAAUUCCGAUAACGAACGAGACUUUGGCCUGCUAAAUAGUAUACCUGUCCUCUGUGCUCGUGCAGGUGGCGGUUCUCUCUGCCCUUUCGGGGGUGGGUGAGGCUGUUUACCGGCGGGUACUGCGCAGGCAUUUACUUCUUAGAGGGACAAGCGACGCGAAAGUCGCACGAAAAUGAGCAAUAACAGGUCUGUGAUGCCCUUAGAUGUCCGGGGCCGCACGUGCGCUACAAUGACGGUUUCAGCGAGUUUUGAAUCCUGGCCCGAAAGGGUUGGGCAAACUGAAUCAUCACCGUCGUGACUGGGAUCGGGGCUUGCAAUUAUUCCCCGUGAACGAGGAAUUCCUGGUAAGUGCAAGUCAUAAGCUUGCGCUGAUUACGUCCCUGCCCUUUGUACACACCGCCCGUCGCUACUACCGAUUGAAUGGUUUAGCAAGGUCAUCGGAUCGGUGCCAUUGUAGUUGUUUCGGCAACUCGACCGGUGCUGAGAAGACGACCAAACUUGAUCAUUUAGAGGAAGUAAAAGUCGUAACAAGGUUUCCGUAGGUGAACCUGCGGAAGGAUCAUUACAGAAAUCCCAAAUAUAAAACACUCAGUCUAACUGAGCUGUUUCCAGGUUGUAAUACUUGGAUGCCUCGCAGAAUGGCCUGCCUUCGGUGAAGUGCUUUAAUUUCACCUAUGCCUCGCAGAAUGGCCUGCCUUCGGUGAAGUGCUUUAAUUUCACCUAUGCCUCGCAGAAUGGCCUGCCUUCGGUGAAGUGCUUCAAUUUCACCUAUGCCUCGCAGAAUGGCCUGCCUUCGGUGAAGUGCUUCAAAUUUCACCUAAUUACUAGGCUAUACCUGGUGCACUUGUGCAUCUACGUAUAGUUCCACCUGUGACAGGGUGCCUUCUUGUCUGAUGCUUGCGGGGUGCUUGCAAUAUUGCAUUGCCAGUUCAUCUUGCGGGUGACGAGAUGUGCUGUCGUUCGCGGCAGUGCUAGGCUUAAAGAGUGGUUGUUUAAGCUAAGGCUAAGCUACCGCCCUGUUUGUUUGUUACCUAAACCUAUUUUACACUGUUCAAGUGAUUCAGGUUGGCGCAAGCCAGUUUGGAUCAUUGCCCACAACAUGGGUCUCGCGUGAGCUUGACCGCAUGUUCAGUCGCCUGGCGGUGCCUUAUCCCGGGUAGGACUGAGAAACCUUCGUUCAAUUGGGAAACCAUUUGUUCGAGGUUCGUACAACUCUGAGCGGUGGAUCACUCGGCUCGUGUGUCGAUGAAGAGCGCAGCCAACUGUGUGAAUUAAUGUGAACUGCAUACUGCUUUGAACAUCGACAUCUUGAACGCACAUUGCGGCCAUGGGUUAGCCCAUGGCCACGCCUGUCCGAGGGUCGGCUUAUAAAUUAUCACGACGCCCUACAAGUCGUGGCUUGGGUUUUGCCAGCUGACGUGAUUUCCCCUUUUGGUAAUUUCGGGGUGUCAGAUCUAUGGCGUUUCCCUAAUGUAUCCGGUUACAACCGCAUAUUGGCUUAUUGCUUUUAUGAGGAUGUGACUGCGGAGUCGUGGCUCAAUGGUAAUGUUUAUGUGCGCGCUCCGUCAGUUCUUCCAGGUUAAAUGUUAACCGUGUUUUGCGCUUUGGCGUAUUACUCCUGACCUCGGAUCAGACGUGAUUACCCGCUGAACUUAAGCAUAUCACUAAGCGGAGGAAAAGAAACUAACAAGGAUUCCCUCAGUAACGGCGAGUGAACAGGGAAAAGCCCAGCACCGAAGCCUGUGGCCAUUUGGUUACAAGGCAAUGUGGUGUUUAGGUCGUUCCGCAGAGGUUCUGCUCCACCCUAAGUCCAUCAAUGAGUACGGUAGUAUGGACGUGGCCCAUAGAGGGUGAAAGGCCCGUGGGGGUGGAGAUCCGAUUGGCCAGAGCCUCUCUGGGUAGACCUUGGAGUCGGGUUGUUUGAGAAUGCAGCCCAAAGUGGGUGGUAAACUCCAUCCAAGGCUAAAUACUAACACGAGUCCGAUAGCGAACAAGUACCGUGAGGGAAAGUUGAAAAGUACUUUGAAGAGAGAGUAAACAGUGCGUGAAACCGCUCAGAGGUAAACGGGUGGUGUUGAACUGCAAGCUUUGAGAAUUCAGCUGGUGAGUGUGGGUUGAGCUUGGUCAAUUUGGUGAACUCCGGGGUCUGCGUAGUAGCAGGUCUCUGCCUUCGGGUGGGGAUGCGCGAUGCACUUGUCAAGUGUUGUGCGCUCUGGUUGUUCUUUGUGCCAGCUCGCCAGUGCAUUUUCUCAGAGUGGUCACCACGACCGACACCGCUGUCUGGCUGCUAUGGUUAAACCGGUUCUGCAUUGUCCUUGUGGCUUUGCUUUGUCGGGAUGGCAGGUAGCUCGUUGACUUGCUUGUGGCUUGCUGCAGGCGUUUGGUUUUCGAGUGUAAUCAGCUGACUGUAGUGGUUCUGUGCAGUGUGUCGGAGACGGCGGCUUGAGGUGUGUGCAUGCGUUCCUGUUCUGCUGACUUGUCCGGGUUUGGUUAUUAUGUUGCCUGUUCAAGCAGGCCUAGUGAUAGCUCGGAUUCGUUCGGUGGGCGGUUGCGUGUGUGGCACUAUCCAAGGGCCAACAGUCUGUGGUGUAGUGGUAGACUUACCACCCGACCCGUCUUGAAACACGGACCAAGGAGAGUAACAUGUACGCGAGUCAUUGGGCGUUACGAAACCCAAAGGCGCAGUGAAAGUAAAGGUCUGACUCGUUCAGGCUGAGGUGAGAUCCUGUCGUUUCUCACGCGUGGUACUUCCAAGCAUCGAGCGGCAGGCGCAUCACCGGCCCGUCCCAUGGCAGUUGUUUUCGGGCAGUUUUCGGUCGGGGCGGAGCAUGAGCGUACAUGUUGAGACCCGAAAGAUGGUGAACUAUGCUUGCGCAGGUUGAAGCCAGAGGAAACUCUGGUGGAGGACCGCAGCGAUUCUGACGUGCAAAUCGAUCGUCAAACGUGAGUAUAGGGGCG
Molecule: ribosomal RNA, 4299 nt
Filed under: Choanocotyle platti
Lineage: Eukaryota; Metazoa; Platyhelminthes; Trematoda; Plagiorchiida; Choanocotylidae
Description: eukaryotic LSU rRNA
Rfam family: Eukaryotic small subunit ribosomal RNA (bases 1-1906)
Source: RNAcentral